CAUGAGGCUUUUAUGCCAACAUUUCUCUGGCCUUUUGCUGUAUGGAUGAUGAUGUGGUUACUAUACUUCCAUACUUGUAUUACCCCUUUGUGGGCGCUUGUUUUACCCCUGUGGCUAAUGGUCUUAGAUCUGUCGAUUGAGGUUUUAACUUACCUCCUUCACCUAAGAGCUUUUCCACCGAUGAGCCCAAGCAAGGGUAGGGAGGCCCAAGCUGCAAAAUGCGUUCUAGCGGGCUUUUUUUUUUACCCGGGCUGGCUGUGGGUCCCACGAGAUGGAUAGGGCAGGACCGCAGGUGGAAUGAGCCCGAGCUCGAGCCUGAGAGCUAGCUGACGUCUGUUGAAACCCAAAAAAUCCAUGGUUGGGCCCGAAUAAAUUAUCAGCCCAAAACGACACUCUAUUAAGAAA
RNAcentral lists this long non-coding RNA (405 nucleotides) under Prunus persica (peach). Its description in RNAcentral is "long non-coding RNA (PPER_LNC007089)". Lineage: Eukaryota; Viridiplantae; Streptophyta; Magnoliopsida; Rosales; Rosaceae. The record is from RNAcentral.